GCGGAAGUGGCGGAAUGGCAGACGCACCAGACUAAGGAUCUGGCGGGUAACCCCCGUGGAGGUUCGAAUCCUCUCUUCCGCA
This 82-nucleotide transfer RNA is filed under the name Deltaproteobacteria bacterium. RNAcentral describes it as "tRNA-Leu". It matches the Rfam family "tRNA". From Rfam's summary of the family: Transfer RNA (tRNA) molecules are approximately 80 nucleotides in length. Lineage: Bacteria; Pseudomonadati; Myxococcota; Myxococcia. RNAcentral also lists the same sequence under 1 other name. The record is from RNAcentral.